CUCUCUCAAAGUUUAUGUUAUAGCCAAAAUUUAUGGACGCUUCGAAGCUUUCUUUUGAGGAAGCUAACCUUCUCAGGGAAAGCUUAAUUCAAGGCUCUGUGCUUCACCGUAAAACUGAGCUAAUGGCUCUUAUAGAAGCAGCAAAAGAUGGGCCGGUUAAAACUCAACUCCUUAUAGAGCUUAAAAAGCUUAUGUUACUCCGUUAUCAAAGUCAAUUAAGGAGCGAUAUACUUCAUGAUUAUCGAAAGAGAACAGUUUUAUUCUCUUGUUUAAAUCCUUACGAAUAUCGUGUGAUUGAUAGAAACUUUUCUUUUAGUUUUCAACGUACAAAGUUACUGGAGGAGGCAAACAGAAGAUAUUUGCUCCAAAAAGAAAGAGCAAAAAAAACGGAUUACUUUUUAAAACUAUUUAAUCACUAUAGCAAG
Molecule: long non-coding RNA, 425 nt
Organism: Zophobas morio
Lineage: Eukaryota; Metazoa; Arthropoda; Insecta; Coleoptera; Tenebrionidae
Exons: 4
Source: RefSeq, a predicted model, not a curated record